CCACAACAGAGGUCAUCACUCAUUCCUACGGGAAUAAAACAGUUUCAGGAAGGGAACCUGAGCCACCCUCUUCCCCAUCACAGACUAGGAAUAGUUCUGUAUCGGGCCCUAAAGAUGUUUCGAUCUCACUGCUUUCCUGCGCGCCGUCUCUUCGCGGAGGGAGUCAGGUCAACCUCCUGGAGCCCGAAAGCGAAUGACACAUUGGCACUGAUGACGUCAGAGCUACGAGCCCCUGGCUUGUGGCCCCAGUCGAUACAAAAACUCACUGGUCGAUAAAGCCCUUUUCAGAACACUUCUGUAAAUAGAAAUGGCUACAUGAAUACAUCCAUUGUGAUUACUGGACGACUGCUGGUGUAUGUCAUAACUAACUACAUGAGCGUCAGUCUGAAUAUUGUGUUGUAUUCCUAUGGUUGUGAGUUUAUAUUCUCAUCCCCCAAUUGAGCCUGGGGACAAAAUUAGUGGGUUUACUAUGACAAAGGUAGUGCAUACAGGACAUAAUUAGUGCCGUGUUGGGUUUUCAAUAGCAGACAUGGUAGAGGGGUUUCAAAGUUGAGACACAAAAAGUAAAGCAACAGACAACCGAAAUAUUCCUUUUUGAUUCCCUCUUUAUUUCAGAAAAACAGCAAUGUUGUUUCCCAGUCAGUUUCUGGCCCAUGCUAGGCCAUUGCACAGUGGCAAGCCAUCCACUCACAUGACAGAACAAGCCCCUAUAUACAGUACCGGUCAAAAGUUUAGACACAUACUCAUUCAAGGGUUUUUCUUUAUUUUUACUAUUUCCUACAUUGUAGAAUAAUAGUGAAGACAUCAAAUAUGAAAUAACACAUGGAGUCAUGUAGUAAACAAGAAAGUGUUAAACAAAUCAAAAUAUGUUUUAUAUUUGAGAUUCUUCAAAGUAGCCACCCUUUGCCUUGAUGACAGCUCCGCACACGCUUGGCAUUCUCUCAAUCAGCUUCAUGAGGUAGUCACCUGGAAUGCUUUUCCAACAGUCUUGAAGGAGUUCCCAAAUGUGCUGACCACUUGUUGGCUGCUUAUCCUUCACUCUGCAGUCCAACUCCUCCCAAACCAUUUCAAUUGGGUUGAGGUUGGGUGAUUGUGGAGGUCAGGUCAUCUGAUGCAGCACUCCAUCACUCUCCUUCUUGGUCAAAUAUCCCUUACACAGCCUGGAGGUGUGUUGGGUCAUUGUCCUGUUGAAAAACAAAUGACAGUCCCACUCAGCGCAAACCAGAUGGGAUGGCGUAUCACUGCAGAAUGCUGUGGUAGCCAUGCUGGUUAAGUGCCUUGAAUUCUAAAUAAAUGUCAAUUUCACCAGCAAAGCACCCCCACACUUCCUCAUCCAUGCUUCGCAGUGGGAACCACACAUGCGGAGAUCAUUCGUUCACCUACUCUGCAUCUCACAAAGACACGGCAGUAGGAACCAAAAAUCUAACAUUUGGACUCAUCAGACCAAGGGACAGAUUUCCACCAGUCUAAUGAAGGCCUGAUUCACGCAGUAUCCUCUGAACAGUUGAUGUUGACAUGUGUCUGUUACUUGAACUCUGUGAAGAAGAGCUGCCAUUUCAUUUUAUUUGGACUGCCAUUUCUGGGGUGCAGAUAAGUGCUGAUUUCUGAGGAAGAUAAAUUACUUAUCCUCUGCAGCAGAGGUAACUCUGGGUCUUCCUUUCCUGUGGCGGUCCUCA
Oncorhynchus kisutch (coho salmon) is the source of this 1676-nucleotide long non-coding RNA. RefSeq lists it as uncharacterized. The transcript has 2 exons. The record is from RefSeq and is a predicted model, not a curated record. Lineage: Eukaryota; Metazoa; Chordata; Actinopteri; Salmoniformes; Salmonidae.